RNAcentral lists this ribosomal RNA (305 nucleotides) under uncultured bacterium. Its description in RNAcentral is "bacterial SSU rRNA". It matches the Rfam family "Bacterial small subunit ribosomal RNA", at positions 334 to 653 of the family's 1533-position model. The record is from RNAcentral.
UGUUCCUACGGGAGGCAGCAGUGGGGAAUAUUGGGCAAUGGGCGCAAGCCUGACUCAGCAACGCCGCGUGAAGGAAGAAGGCUUUCGGGUUGUAAACUUCUUUUAUGAGGGACGAAAGAAAUGACGGUACCUCAUGAAUAAGCCACGGCUAACUACGUGCCAGCAGCCGCGGUAAUACGUAGGGGGCGAGCGUUGUCCGGAAUCACUGGGCGUAAAGGGCGCGUAGGCGGUUUAAUAAGUCAGUGGUGAAGACUGAGGGCUCAACCCUCAGCCUGCCACUGAUACUGUUAGACUUGAGUAUGGAA